Molecule: long non-coding RNA, 11379 nt
Filed under: Gallus gallus (chicken)
Lineage: Eukaryota; Metazoa; Chordata; Aves; Galliformes; Phasianidae
Description: lncRNA (ENSGALG00010019818.1)
Source: RNAcentral
UGAGAUAAGUCGCGGCCGCGAGUAGGGUGGGUGUAGUAGGAGUGGUGGCGCGAGCUUUGGCACUGAGGAGCGUCAUCAAUGCGCGUGGUGGGGGUGGGCUGAUGUUUGGAUUUGGUGAUCUUAAUGAGCUUUUCCAACCUGAAUGAUGCUAUGACCGAGCCGCCACGUGGUCACCAGUUUUACUUCAGGUAUUUAAGCAGGCAGCAGUUAUUAAACGUCACGUUAGCGUGGAGAAGGAGCUUUCUGCUUUACGUAAAGUGGGUGAACUGGUUUUUCAGUUUACGCUGCGUGAUGGGCCUUUCUAGAGCUUCCAGAGAGGCAGAACUGUGUUGGAAGAGCAAAGGCUCAGUACCUGCCCCACUUCAGAUCUUCUACGUGACCAGCUGGAAAUUUCAUGAAUCACAGGUGAGACCUGCACAGAGAGCUUCUGCAACAGUUUCAUUUGGACAAGAGGAGCAAAAUAGUCCUUCAUCAGUACUAAAAGCUAUCUUGAAGCUCUUAUUAAACUGCCAGUGCAGAUAGUCUCCACUUCUACUAUUUUGUUACAACACUUUGAAACUAUAAUCUGCACACAGCAAGGAAUGUGAAUGCCUGUGCUACAUCAGUUGUGUAAAAUAGCAUUCAUUUCUUUUUCUAGAGAAGUACUGUUAGCAGUAUUCUAAGUAGUACAUGCUCUCCCAGUUUGAUUAAAGUGCUAUUCUCAAAUGUAAAGCCUCUUUCAGUGUUUCAGUAGGACAGACUGCUCCAGGUAUGAUUUGCAAGUCUUGAACAUGCAUCACCCUGUAUUUUCAAAGUAUUCCUGAGGGAUGGUAGGUCAUAAUAAACAACACUACUUGCUGACAAAUAAAUUCAAGUCAUACUAUAAGAGAAUAUUGUUGAAUACACAGAUCUGACCGACUUAAUAUGGUUUCUGUCUGUUGGAAAUCAUGGUUAAAAAGAUACGGUCAGUUAACAUCUGAAAGUUGAAUGUUUGACUUGUGUAAAAGGAAGUGAUUAAAUAAGUCCUGUAGAAAUAUAUUUAGUUCAUACUUCAUACCUGCAACAGACAAAUUCAAUUCUCCUUCCGCUUGCAAAUACGAAAAUAAUUGUUUCUGAACGUGAAGUAGGAUAGGGUAGCCACAGAGAAGGCUGAGGCUUCAUUCCACCUUUAACAGAAUGUGUCAUGAUUUGACUGAAGUUUACUGAAAGAAGUAGCAAGCAGAAAAGUCAGCUAGCACACAAAUAGACUUGUGCCCUUCAAACUAAUGAGCUUACCAGUGGCAUUCUCUGGAAUUGGUGCUCUUUUGGAAUUGCAAGGAACUUUUAUACCAGUUGUAUGUUGUUGUGCUUAAAGCUGUUGUAUUAACAGAAGUGUAAGAGAAAGCUUCUCUUGGCCUGCCAUAAGGACAUUAUCCAGCAGGUGGAGUUUGACAGGAUGGUGAGCACAGGCCAAGUAGACAAGGGCGAACAAGUUACUGGCACACAGGAGCUGAAGAUUGCAUGAGCAUUGAACACCUAAUAGAUUGGCACAUAAGCAGUGUUCCUAUGGAACUGAUUUUCUGACCAGGCUGUGUCAUGGAAAGGAAAUGUAACUUGAGGAAGUACAGCUGUGGUGGAGGAACACGUGUACUGGGCCCUAAGACCUGACUCUUGUAACAAGAACUAGAACAACAAAGACAAGAGAAGGAAAUUAAGGAAAGAAGGAUGACUCACAACUUGUAUAUUGAAGAUCACAUUCAGAAAUGGUGACAAAGAAGCUAUGAACAAAUCAAGAUUGAAAAAAAAGAAAAGAAAAAACAGCAUUUAUGCCAGGAAAACUCAAUUGUUUGAGUGCUCAUGGAAAAGAAAUGCAAGAGCUGCCUUGGUAUCACUAAAGCAAGUUCACUGAAAAAUAGGACACUUUGAGAAGGACUCAGAAACAGCAUUUGGAAUGGAGAACUCAAACUGCAUUGUAGGCCGAACUAAUGCCUGAUAUUUAAGUAUAGGGGAGAUGUGGAGUUCUGAAGCUGAAAUUGAGAAGCCUGGAUCUGACAUGGAAUGUAAAGGAAUGACAAAACUGGAUGCCAAGAGGCGUUUUCAGCAGCAGUAUUGCCAGGACACUGAAGAAACCAGAGAGACAAGCAGGAAAAUGGGAAAUGUCAAAAGUCUCUACCGUGGUCUCAGGAUCAGAGAGAGGAAGGAUGUUUCAGAGAACAAUCUGAAAGGGAAAUGUGAGAUUUGGCAGCAGGUUAGCUAAGGAAGAAAUAAGAGUGAAAGAAGAGUCAGCUUGGGGAGUACUGUAGGCUGUCUCUACUGUAAGAUAAAUUCACAGCAAGCCCAGUAUGUCUAAGCAGUAUGAAUGAGCUUGUAUUUUAAUGCCCAAGAGGUGAGGGAAAAAAUAAAUUUCCUUUGGUUGAGAAGACAAAAAGUGGCUUCUUUCAUCCACCUGAGAAGGAGUAGGGCUGCAGGCACGGUAGACAAGAAGUCAGAUGCUGUGGCAUGCCAACUGCCAAGACACCUAGCAAGUCUGUCUUUCCUUGUCCUCCUGUGUUGUUUUUUUAUCACCCUGCUGGUCUGCAAGGUUAUAUGCUGCUUCUUUUUUUCCCCCAUCCUGAUUACUGCUUGCUUUGCUAAUAAGGGAAUAAUGAUGAGGAAGUAUGUCAUACAAAUUGUUAGACAAAGAUAAGGAUGGCUACAGGGAUAGCGCCAACUGAGAAGGCAGCAACAGUGAAAUUGACUGUUUUUAGUAAUCACAUGAGAAGAAAUACAUGCUUUUGUUUUCAGAGUAAACAUUUUACUGUCUAGAUGGAAAAGUCCAGCAGCCAAAGUUGUUAUUACAAGCUGAUUUAAAGACACAGGUGAGGAAGUACUUGAAGAUAUUUGUUUGCUUCGUGUUGGCUUUAUAAGACGUGGCUUACUGGUUUCUGAAGGCUUGAAAAUGUCUUGCAGUUUUUCAUGUUGACUGGUAAAUCCUUUUGUGCCUAGAGUGCCAUCCCCUCAUAGAGUCACUGUUCAUAAUACUGAACUAUGACUGUAUAUGAGAAGGAUGGUUGUACAAUCAGAGGAUCUGAAAAACUGCUAUGUCUGUUGUUCUUAAUACUCUUAAGGCUUUAUAAUGCACUGUAUUUUCUGAACUGAUGCAAGAACAAGCCUUUGAUGAUAGAAAAACUGCAGUUUAUAGUACAGAAGGAAGUGUGAAUUGAUUUUGCCAAUUUGGGAAAUGAAAUAGGCAGUACAGAAGUUCUUAGACCCACUUUCCCAGUUGAAAAGCACUUAGGUAAAACUGGACAAAAAGCCAGAGGAGAACUAAGUGAAAUUUCACACUCAGUGAGAUGCCUCACGUCUGAGCAACCAGCCAGACCUUAGUGUUUUAAUAUCCCUAAUCUAUUCUGUGCUUUAAUGAGAUCUUGAGCUAUUGGCUCUGAAGAUUAUUAGUGCCCUGGUGAAUAGCCAUUCAAUCUUCAGGCGUGUGAUGAGAAUUUGCUUCCUCUUUCAAUCCUUCAGCUUCUUGGCUAGAAUUUAUUAUUUCCCUAAAUAAAAGCAGCUGCAAAAUUUCAUUAGGUGUUAUAGUACCCCUUUCUGCUGUAUUUAACCUUGUCUCAUUAAAUAGAUUACAUCCUUGCCUCUUGUAAUUAAGUGCAAAUCAAACACAAUAUUUUAAUAUUAUAUUAAAAAUGUAAGAAAUAGGACGCCUUUUCAGCUGCCAUUCUGAAAUUCCUGAAGGCAGGAGUGCUACUUUGACAGUGACAAAUUCUUCCAGAAACAUCUGGUCUAUAAAGUACAUUUUCUCCUUAUAGAUCUGAUAGUAAAAUCAUAAAUACCAAAGACAAAGUGUUCUGUUCUGUCACACUUGAAUUCCAUUUAAAGAGAGUUCUUUAUCUAUUUCAUCUGUUCAGUAUCUGAGUGAUUUAACUACCUGCAAAGGCUUCUGUUGAGUAUGGGUUUUCUGGACACCAGCAAUCUUAAAUAUUAGAAGAGCCCAGGCUGUAGAGAAAAAAAAAAAACAUGAAUCUAAUAAUGGGUUGUGUAUUAAUUCAGCAAGCCUUUGGUUUUAUUUAAUAAGCAAAGAAAAAUUAUACUUCCACAAUCUACUGAGAGUCCAGUCAAACUAUGUGAUAAAUACUGACAAGAAAAAAUUAUCUUGCAUGUUCUAAAGUUGGGUCAAGAGAAGCACUAUGAACCCACACCUUCCUUAUGUGAACUUGCUAAGUCCCACGUCUAAAUUUCAUCCAUUUAACAUUUGUCACAUAACUGGGGUCCUUCAGUUAAGUUCUUUGCAGAAAUAAAAGAGGAAUUGUCUGUUUGAGGGCUUUGAUGUUGCAUCUCUCUUGAAAGCACCUUUCUCCCUGUGCUGACUGUAAGGUUGUGCAGGGCAGCAGUGCUGAUCUGAAGUUGGAGAUGUAAGUUCAGUGGUAUUCUCUGUGCUCAAUGUAACCAAAAUGCACUGUGUGUCUCCAUCCUAUACCUUUGGAGUUAAGCAUUAGGUAAAUAUAGAGCAUUUCCCCAAGUUUGUUUCAGGUAUGAACUAUGUGUAUGCUAUUAGCUAUCUCUGUAUCCAGGAGAGAUUUAUGUUGAUAAUAUUAUCAUUAACUCUAAUUUGAUUUCAAACUGAGUCACUGAUUACAUGGUUUCUAAGUCUCAGAUUCUGCUUCCUUGGGGAAGCAGAGGUGAGAAAGUUUGCAUGCUAUUGCAUAUAUAAUUAAAAACCACUUCCCAUUAUGUAUAUAUGCUGUCCCUGCCCUGCUAUACUGUCCUUUGCUCCUUUGCACCUUUUCCAUCCUAGCUGGUAGUGAUGCAGCAGCAGUCAGUCCGUUCUGUUACGUGUGCCUGAGUCGGGCUGCAGCCUUUUCUUAACAAGAGCCAAGGGCAGGUAUCAUGCUGCUCUGAUUUACCUGCAUGGCUGCGUUAGACCCAGUCAUUUCAAAGUUCUUAAUGAUGGCAAUUUAUCAAACAAGCCUUAAAAUAAUAGGCACUGUUUCCAAAAUGCCAUGGCAUUAGCAACCCACUCUUUAUGGAGUGGCAUAAUGUUUUCUUAAAAAAAUAUGUAAUGGACAAAUAAAUAACAACAACGACAAAAAACCUCAAAAAGAAAUAAGAAAAACACCUCCCCCACCCCAUGUUUGGAACAAGCUCGAUACGUGGUAUGUUUUCACAUUGUUUAGUACAGUCUGAAAAUUGCCUAAGUGCACAAAAUGGGUCACCCUGAUUAUGUUUUGAGGCUGUGAAUUCUUGCAAGAAGUUGUUAAUGCACGAGCAGUCCUGCUCAGCAGAGUACGUUACAGCAGGAGCACGGCUACAGCUUACUGUGGGAGGUGGGAAGUGGCUCAGUUUGAGAUCGGAUGAGAACAGCCAACUACUUCACCUGAAAAGAUCUCUCUCUAGAGGAAGGUCAGGCUAAUUCUGCUAGAAUCGUGCAAACCAGUAAUUUGAAGUGCUCCUUGCAGUGAAUCGAUGGAUGUGCAUUACUUUGUGAAAGUGUGCAUUAAUGUUUGUAAGUAUUAACACUUAAAAUACAUUCCUUGCUCUCUCUUAGUUGAUAAUGUCAUCUCUGGAAGUGUUUAGCAAAUUAUAAAAUGUAAUUAAUACAUAUAUUUGUGUGUGCAUGGCUUAUAUUUGUCUCUUUUUGAGAGGGCAAGCCUUAGGCUGAAGUGCUUGCUAUUUUGCAAAGCCUUGAGGACUGUACUGACCUGGUAAGUCAGAAGUUGUUCCAUCUUCUGUUUUGACAGUAGGAAUAGGAAGAGAAUUGCUUUCCCUACAGUGCCAAAGUGAGAAGGAACUUAACACUGAUCUGUGAGCUUUUUAGCUCUGUAGGCUGUGUCAGUGUAGGAAAUUGUAUGGAUGAAUGGAUGCGGAUCUACAGAAACAAGCAGGUGUUGGUGCAGGCUCAAGGUACUCAGUAUAUAUGCAUUCAGGAGGGAUGAGGGAUUUAACGAUGAUCUGAUCACUUAGGAUCUUAUUUUGUGAACUGAAUGCUUAUUUACGGUUGAAGUGCACUUCCUAUUUAGUUUCAUCUGAAAGGAGUCUAGGUAGUGCACGCCAGAAGUAAUCCACCGUAUGAGCCAAAGCAGGUGAGUGGGGACAGUCAGGAGGUGUACUUCUAAUAAAUGGGUUUAUUUCUUAGGAAAUGUCUUGGCUCUACUGUUAUUGCUCUAGCACGAUUAAGGUCUUGGCUACUGAAGUAUAUUGGUGGAAUGUGAGAAGCAAUCAAAACCAAUUCAGCAUCCUGGUAGUUUUGCUAUGGCUCAACAGGAGCUGGAUCUGAGAAUGAGUGAGAGAAGCAGUCAGUCUCUAUUGUUCGGCCUCUGUGAGUAAAAACAUAACAAUUAGAAACUGGAAAAGGAGUUAAUGCCAGGCUUGCGCUGGUAAUGAUUGACUUUUCCAUUCAUGUGGCUGCAUAUACAAGGCCAUCAAGAGAUGAGGAAUAAGGAUUGUAUUUACCAAACUCAGUGUAUUUCUGUGAGCUCUGUACUUACUGUUGCUGCACUAAUGUGGCUAUUUCAGGACUACUGGUUUGUAAAAUAAGAUACUUCAUUUUUACCAUCACUCAUAUAAGCUUGGCAUUCUACUGGCAUUGCAUUAAGGAUAUAAAUUCAUCUUCUGAAAAAACAAACAUUGAUAGUAUAAGAAAUUGGAAAUUGCUAAUAUUAACUUCAAAUGAUAAGGUGUCAGCUAUUACAAAUUCUAUGGGGCACAGUGUAAUUUGGAAACAAAAGAGACAGCUAAAAGUAAGAAUAUAUGUUUUCAACAAACCGUGUGGCCGUGCUGUACCUUCAGCACAAUAUAAUCUCAUGGAUUAGAGAAACUUCUACUUAACCCUCCAGUAUCAGGGUUCAUGUUGCUCAUCUGUCCACUUGCUGCUUGCAGAAUGGAGCUCAUCACUAGCUGUCACAGGAAGCUUAGUCAGCUCUGUUAAAUAUAUAGGAUGUCUGAUUUUCAGCUGUAUGAUGAAGCUUAACAUCUAAUCUUAAUGUUGGGUACAGUCAGCUGUAAAGGAAAAAGCUGUUUGGAAAGCUCAGAACUCGUAUGGCUGAGCAGAAUUUGCUUAUAACGCCGGUGAAGUAGUACAGGUCUCAUGAGCUAUGACCGCUGAGUGAGUUUAAUUUCUAUGAUAUCAUAAGUGCGAUUCUCUCAUGCUUUCCAAGGCUAAGUAAGGUGUAGCUAUAAUCAAACAUGUAGCCAUUAAAGCUGCUUAGUCCUAGAGUCAGAUUCAUUUCCUGUCUUCAAGCACUAGUGGACUGUUGAAAUUUGGGAUGCAGGCCUACGAUGACACAAAAUGCGUUAUAAUAUACUUGGUGGGAACCUCUGCCAUUAUUAUUAUUUAUUUUUUAAAUGUCAGUUGUCAAACUGGAAACGUUUUUCAGGGAAAAAAAAAACAAAAAACCCAAAACAUUUUACUGAGGAUUUCACAUGCACAGUUUUGGAAUUAUAAUGACCAUCCAGAAGGAAUUUAAUUGGUGAUGAAAUUCAAACUUAGUGCAAGUCAUUUUUUUUUUUAAUGGAGAAAAAAAAAAAAGUCUUGUAUUUAAUCUGGAAUAAAAAUACUUUUGAGAUCUCAAAAAUAUUGGCAUCUUUUUUCCUGUGCAGGCUACUGAGAACUGGGCUUAGUCCAGAAAACCGGUGGCAAUGGCUUGGAAAUGCACGGAAGCACAUAAUCUUGCAAAUCAAGCUGCUAAUGGAAACUGGGGUAUGUCAUUUUUGCUCUCUAUUCCAAGUUUGUUGGUAGCUACCAUCUGGAAUUUAAAAACAUUAAUGAUGAUUAUGAGAUUAGAAGGAUAAAAAGCCACAGCAGCUCUCAGAUAUUACAGCAGAGCUUUUCCCAUGUGCCUGAGGGAAAAGUACUGUAUCCCGUGCAGAAUAUUUUCAGAUUAUUUUAAUUCAGUUGAUUUUUAUUUAUGCAUAUAUUUUUAAUGAUUGAACAAUUGUUCAAAGCCUUUAAAAAGGAUAAAGGGAAACGUUGGGUGCAUAAUUCAUGUGCCAUUUGCAGCCAACCAUCUUGCACAACCAGGAAGGUUCAGAGGAAGAAAAGUACAAUUCAAAAGGAGAUGCUGGGCUGUGAAAUAAGGAAAGAAGCAAAAAUCUCACACUUCCACAGUUUGAACUGUGAAAUGUUAAUUAAGUAUAAAGGAAAAACAUGUUGAAGCUUCAGAGCAUUAUGUCCAAGGCAGAGGAAGUGUCAUGGUUAAGGGUGAAUAUGACUGCAACAUGGCAUGCUGUCUUGCACAGUCAGUUGACUGGAAAACAGAUCCUGAUGCACAGGAUGGAAUGAGCAGGUCUGACUGGCGGGGACAAGGAAUGGAGGUGAAUGGCAGUGGGCAUUCUUCUUUUCUUCUUUUCUUUUCUUCGACAGGUGCCAUCCAAGGUAGAUCCUCAGUCACUGGUGCUUUUGUCCUAAACUGGUUAUUUUGGAUUGCAAAUGUGAGGCAGUGAUCAGCUGGUUUUCUGUCAUCACCUGAAGGAGCCACUCUGUGGAUGCUGAAGUGCACUCAGAACACAGGAGAACAGUCACCACGAGUUACAGGGAGACCUCAGAUCAGUGUCCUGCUCAGGAAGAAAAGAAAGAGGUUCUGAUCAGAGGAAGUUGACAGCUUGUCCUUAAAAUUAGACAUGCCCUUGAGGAAACCACACAGGGAUCACAAUUUCCAUCAGCUCCAGAGACGUAGUAGUUGCUAGAGGGGUCAUUUACUUAAGUGGUUGGUACUUUCUGGAGUAUAUAUAAAGAAAAGAAAGUAAGCUAUUACAUUAAAUAGCUCUUAAGUAGGAUGGAACAAUGAGGUUGGUGAAAAGUAGUGUUUAUAAAUGUUACUGAAGAAAAAAUAAUCAGCAGAUGAAGAAGUACAGUUAUUAACACAAAUGAUUUCCAUGCAUGGAUUUGCAAAGCUCUUAGUCCAAACAAACGAUUUAGGUAAUGCCAGUAGAGAUGGAUGGCUGUUCCUACUGAGCACAGAAUUAAGAGAAAAAGAAAGCUGGUGACAUCAGUAUCAUCUGAUUGAAGGUGAACCUAAGCUAAAGAAAUCUGGAAGUGUGUUCAGCCCAGAGCACAACCUGGCAUUACACAAAGCUGUGUGCUGGAGAGGUUAGGGAAGCCGGACAGCUGAUAUCCAUCAAGGAGAGAGAGCUCUUUCUGUGGUGGGCUGGCUAAUUGUUUGUUUAGGCAUUCAGCUGGGUUGCAGAAGACUUGUGUUUGGUUUCAGGUUUGUUUAAAACACCCUAUGCUCCCUGGACCGUUAAUUAUUUGACCUCUGUUGUGGUUCCUAUGUAAGAUGUUGGUAUAAUAGUUCUUUUCAUUGAGGAUAUAUGCUGGUAACCAACCGAAAAGGUCACUGCCCAGGUGCUGUUACUCUGUGUUCCACCCUAUAAAAGACAGAGAAACCAGAAUGGGUGUUUUCUUUCUGUAAGCUUCACUAAUGAAAUCUAUUCUCACUGGAGCUCAUUGAUCAACGUUGUUUGAUGAAUGGUUAUUUGCUUGAUCUAAUGUUUACUGAAGUCAGCAGAAAUCUUUCACUGGACAUUUAAUUUUUAUUUUUUUUCCUGUCUUGCUGCUGUGCUUUAUGGCCAAUGAACCGGCGGAGGAAAAAUGCUCAGGAAUAAAAGCCCUUGGGAUGAGUAUGAAGGAACAGAGAUCUUCAGGGUUAUACAGUUUGUAGCUUUAAAGUAAUGAUAACUUCUUUCAGUUCCAGUUGGAAGACCCCAGAGGCCAAGAUUAACCUUAAUACAACACGUAGGUAAAGAGCAGGAGGUGGAGGAGCACGUGGUACAACAAAGGGUCAUGUCUGGAAGAUGGAGGGAAGGGGGAGCAAACCAAAUAAUUGGUUAUUAUUAGCAACUAAUUACUGUAGAUACUAUGAAUCUUGUGAGAAGCAAUACUGAAAUAGCCGCUGUGGUUUUUAGUUGGAUUAAGCUGUAUUUCAGUCUCAAACUUGUGAAGCUGCAGACACAUAACAUGUGCUGAAGCACAGGUUUAGCUUCUUUAAGAAAUAGAGGUUACAGGUGCAUGUGAUUGUACAUGUACAGCAAAUUCUUUUGUUUUCAAGAAAAUCUUUUAAUUUGAGCUUGAAACUGGAUCCUGCUGGCCUUAUUUUAGACUAGAAGUCUAAAGACUGGAUAAAGAUAGCCUUGCUUUAGUGCAGCAGCAGCAGAUGAAUCUCUGACUUCUCACAAGGUGGUGAUAGCAGUGUGGGUUCUUUGCAAUGCCUAUACUGGAAAAUACUUUCACCAAGGCAGAAUCAGACAGUAAUGAAUUAAUUCCAUUGUGUAGUUCAUCUACUUUGCUUGAUGUGGAUGGUUCUUUUCUGGCAUUGUAUGGCAAUCAUCGUUUUGGUGUGUUUAGACUCUCAUCACAUCAAGGUCCUGAUUUAGCAAAUACCUGGAACAGAAUCUCUAAGUACUGGGAUGUUCUAUGAAAUUGAACAUGUCAUUCAAGUGCUUUAAGGAGGCUUAGUGUAAUUUACUCAUUUUGUCUUUUUGCUGAUAGUUCCUGGAGGGAUUUUUAUGCCUUUAGGACAAAUUAUCUGAUGAACCUGCAAUAAAAAGCAGGACUUAGUCCUAGAGAACAAGAUUCCAAGUGGGUCUUUAAAUUCCACAGCCAAAGCAUCUUUAUGUGGUAAGGAGCAGCACACGAGGCCUUCAGAUGAGACAUUUUCCACAGGAUGAGAAUUCAGUGAAAAUGUAUUUUGAAAAUCCUGCCCUCACUUGAUAUUUAUUCUGCUAUCCAUUUGCAUGCAUUGUCUUUGAGACCAUAUAUUCUAUACCAUGUUAUUGGACAGUGAUAAAUGGCUCAACAAAGUUAAAAUUUAAUGAGAAAAGGGCAAUGAGAUGUUGUGCUUUUAUAAUGACUUAUCUGGCUUGUACAGAUAAGAUUGCGUAUGAAAUAUAAUAAUGUUAUCAAUGUAAUCUAUGUUACUUUGGACAUUACCAUACUUAUGAUUCAUUAACAGUAACUGUUUUGCUAUGUAGCUUUCUGUACUGGUUAUGUUGCUUGGCAACAUUAACUCCAAGAUAAUGAUGUCUUACUGCCUGUGAUUAAAUAAUGCUUUUUCCCCCAUAUUGUUUAUGAUAUAUCUAGCUUAUUUAUUUUCUUGUUUGCAAACUCUGUUCCUUAUUUUUCAUGCCAAAUAUAGCAAGGUAUGUAUACGUUCCUUGAAUAAUUCUGUGCUUAAAAUUCACCGCAUAUAUUCCCCUACUAAAGUGAAUGCAAAUAGCAAAAUAGUAUGAUGGAAAAAUAAAACCAGUGCACAAUAAUGCGAAGAACAUAAAAUGGAGAAGCAGUCUGUAGAACUACUGCUGAUACUGCUGAAUAAAUCCUUAAAGCCUUUUCAGCAGAAGUGCGUUGCUAAUAACCAUGGAUAAUGCCCUAGUUCUAUGAUUUAAUUCUCCUCUUAAAUAAAUAAAUAGGAAGCUAUGGGGCUUGCCCAUAUGCAGUGC